Molecule: non-coding RNA, 475 nt
Organism: Heteronotia binoei (common prickly gecko)
Lineage: Eukaryota; Metazoa; Chordata; Lepidosauria; Squamata; Gekkonidae
Source: the annotation of a RefSeq genome assembly
CCUGACCAUGCCUCAAGUAUCUUUCCUGCUUCUCCUCUUCACUUACUGCACUGGUGCCUUUGCCCAGUUUGUAUUGACUCAGCAGCCCUCCAUAUCUGCAUCCCCUGGAGAAACAGUGAGAAUCCCCUGUACCAGGAGCAGUGGUGGUAUCAGAGGCAGCUAUGUAUCCUGGUACCAACAGAAACCUGGCACUGCUCCCAAACUACUGAUAUAUCAGUUCAGCAACAGAUACACAGGAAUCCCAGACCGGUUUUCUGGCUCUACAGACACCUCUGCCAACUCUGCCACUUUAACCAUCUCCAGCGUUCAAGCAGAAGAUGAGGCCGAUUAUUACUGUUUAUCUUAUUAUGGCGACGUGCAGCACACGGUGAUACAACCACAUGGGGAAGUGAGACAAAAACAGCAGUCCACUGUGGGUUGCAUUUGGUUGACCAAAAGUCAGAGGCUGCUGAUCGCAGUCUUACAAUCGCAAUGA